This is a long non-coding RNA of Tupaia belangeri chinensis (Chinese tree shrew), 998 nucleotides long. RefSeq lists it as uncharacterized. NCBI's taxonomy places the organism in Eukaryota, Metazoa, Chordata, Mammalia, Scandentia, Tupaiidae. The transcript has 3 exons. The record is from RefSeq and is a predicted model, not a curated record.
UGUGGCCCUGCAGGGCAGCCCCCCAAGCCUGUCCUCACAGACGCAGCCGCACAGGCAUUGGCCUUGGCCGUGCCGCUCAGGUCUCCCUUGCACGAACAGCUUGCCAUGUGGCCAGGAGGGCUCCGCAGUUGCCGCUUGUAGCCACAGCAUCUGAGGGUCUGCUGCGGCAUCCAGGCCACAGCCAUGCUCUUCCCUGGCAGCCACCGGCCAAGCCCAGACAUAGGGGGCCGAGAAACUCCUGGGCUCCAGACACUUCCUCCCAACAGCUCUUUGUAACGGCUCAUCUCUGCCCUCGAGCUCCCCGCUGCAUCAGCCAGAACCCAGCCGGGUGACGCGUGGAGUCUGCCCAUCAUGUGCUCCGAUGGACUCUGCAUUCAAUUCCUCGCUUUCAGAAUCGACCGGGGAACCGUGACGGCCUGUGAGGGACAGAUAAGCCUCCAUCCACGGUUCCCUUCAGGGCCCAAAGCUUCAUUGCCAGUGGUGGUUCUGGCAAGGCCUGUAUCCAGACAGCAAGUGAAGGCACCAGGUUGACCAUCGAUGCUUUCUCCAUUGUACUCGUCUCCGGUCACUUCCAUUUGGCCUUCAUAGAUCUCGUCCAUGGCAGACCUACUGAGAAGCCCGUGGGCCUGCAGCAGGCCAGUACAGCACACUGCAGUCACAUGUGCUAGGCCAGCCUUCACACCAUGCUUUGGUAGUGGGUGUGCAUAAGCUGUGCACGGGCAUAAGCAGUCUGGCAAAUGCUCUGUUACAGGAGCUGUCAUCCUGUGUGUGGGUGUUGUACUUACUUUUAUCCUGGAUCACCAAGCGUUACCGAGCAUAGUCAUCACUUUUACCUGCUUGUUGUCUUCUAGAUGUCACUUGGUAUCUCUUAAAGUAGGCCUUAUUCUUGACAACUUUAACAAAUCCCAUCCUGUGGAAUAGAGACCCGCAGCCCCGCCCAACCUGCAGGCCCACAGCACUACAGGGGGAAAACGCUCCCCUUAAUCUUCCACACUAAA